Small nucleolar RNA from Nomascus leucogenys (northern white-cheeked gibbon), 103 nucleotides. It matches the Rfam family "Small nucleolar RNA U13". NCBI's taxonomy places the organism in Eukaryota, Metazoa, Chordata, Mammalia, Primates, Hylobatidae. The record is from Rfam.
GUUCUUUUGUGGUUUGUAAGUGUGAUGAUUGGGUUUUUUGCUCACGUGUGAGAUGUGCCUCCCUCAAACCUCAUUAUGAUGUCGGCACAUCACCCAUCUGACG